GCGCGAUACAGGGUGACAGCCCCGUACACAAAAAUGCACAUACUGUGAGCUCGAUGAGUAGGGCGGGACACGUGGUAUCCUGUCUGAAUAUGGGGGGACCAUCCUCCAAGGCUAAAUACUCCUGACUGACCGAUAGUGAACCAGUACCGUGAGGGAAAGGCGAAAAGAACCCCGGCGAGGGGAGUGAAAAAGAACCUGAAACCGUGUACGUACAAGCAGUGGGAGCCUCUUAAUGGGGUGACUGCGUACCUUUUGUAUAAUGGGUCAGCGACUUAUAUUCUGUAGCAAGGUUAACCGAAUAGGGGAGCCGAAGGGAAACCGAGUCUUAACUGGGCGUUAAGUUGCAGGGUAUAGACCCGAAACCCGGUGAUCUAGCCAUGGGCAGGUUGAAGGUUGGGUAACACUAACUGGAGGACCGAACCGACUAAUGUUGAAAAAUUAGCGGAUGACUUGUGGCUGGGGGUGAAAGGCCAAUCAAACCGGGAGAUAGCUGGUUCUCCCCGAAAGCUAUUUAGGUAGCGCCUCGUGAAUUCAUCUCCGGGGGUAGAGCACUGUUUCGGCAAGGGGGUCAUCCCGACUUACCAACCCGAUGCAAACUGCGAAUACCGGAGAAUGUUAUCACGGGAGACACACGGCGGGUGCUAACGUCCGUCGUGAAGAGGGAAACAACCCAGACCGCCAGCUAAGGUCCCAAAGUCAUGGUUAAGUGGGAAACGAUGUGGGAAGGCCCAGACAGCCAGGAUGUUGGCUUAGAAGCAGCCAUCAUUUAAAGAAAGCGUAAUAGCUCACUGGUCGAGUCGGCCUGCGCGGAAGAUGUAACGGGGCUAAACCAUGCACCGAAGCUGCGGCAGCGACACUAUGUGUUGUUGGGUAGGGGAGCGUUCUGUAAGCCUGUGAAGGUGUACUGUGAGGUAUGCUGGAGGUAUCAGAAGUGCGAAUGCUGACAUAAGUAACGAUAAAGCGGGUGAAAAGCCCGCUCGCCGGAAGACCAAGGGUUCCUGUCCAACGUUAAUCGGGGCAGGGUGAGUCGACCCCUAAGGCGAGGCCGAAAGGCGUAGUCGAUGGGAAACAGGUUAAUAUUCCUGUACUUGGUGUUACUGCGAAGGGGGGACGGAGAAGGCUAUGUUGGCCGGGCGACGGUUGUCCCGGUUUAAGCGUGUAGGCUGGUUUUCCAGGCAAAUCCGGAAAAUCAAGGCUGAGGCGUGAUGACGAGGCACUACGGUGCUGAAGCGACAAAUGCCCUGCUUCCAGGAAAAGCCUCUAAGCAUCAGGUAACAUCAAAUCGUACCCCAAACCGACACAGGUGGUCAGGUAGAGAAUACCAAGGCGCUUGAGAGAACUCGGGUGAAGGAACUAGGCAAAAUGGUGCCGUAACUUCGGGAGAAGGCACGCUGAUAUGUAGGUGAAGCGACUUGCUCGUGGAGCUGAAAUCAGUCGAAGAUACCAGCUGGCUGCAACUGUUUAUUAAAAACACAGCACUGUGCAAACACGAAAGUGGACGUAUACGGUGUGACGCCUGCCCGGUGCCGGAAGGUUAAUUGAUGGGGUUAGCGGUAACGCGAAGCUCUUGAUCGAAGCCCCGGUAAACGGCGGCCGUAACUAUAACGGUCCUAAGGUAGCGAAAUUCCUUGUCGGGUAAGUUCCGACCUGCACGAAUGGCGUAAUGAUGGCCAGGCUGUCUCCACCCGAGACUCAGUGAAAUUGAACUCGCUGUGAAGAUGCAGUGUACCCGCGGCAAGACGGAAAGACCCCGUGAACCUUUACUAUAGCUUGACACUGAACAUUGAGCCUUGAUGUGUAGGAUAGGUGGGAGGCUUUGAAGUGUGGACGCCAGUCUGCAUGGAGCCGACCUUGAAAUACCACCCUUUAAUGUUUGAUGUUCUAACGUGGGCCCCUUACCGGGGUUGCGGACAGUGUCUGGUGGGUAGUUUGACUGGGGCGGUCUCCUCCUAAAGAGUAACGGAGGAGCACGAAGGUUGGCUAAUCCUGGUCGGACAUCAGGAGGUUAGUGCAAUGGCAUAAGCCAGCUUGACUGCGAGCGUGACGGCGCGAGCAGGUGCGAAAGCAGGUCAUAGUGAUCCGGUGGUUCUGAAUGGAAGGGCCAUCGCUCAACGGAUAAAAGGUACUCCGGGGAUAACAGGCUGAUACCGCCCAAGAGUUCAUAUCGACGGCGGUGUUUGGCACCUCGAUGUCGGCUCAUCACAUCCUGGGGCUGAAGUAGGUCCCAAGGGUAUGGCUGUUCGCCAUUUAAAGUGGUACGCGAGCUGGGUUUAGAACGUCGUGAGACAGUUCGGUCCCUAUCUGCCGUGGGCGCUGGAGAACUGAGGGGGGCUGCUCCUAGUACGAGAGGACCGGAGUGGACGCAUCACUGGUGUUCGGGUUGUCAUGCCAAUGGCACUGCCCGGUAGCUAAAUGCGGAAGAGAUAAGUGCUGAAAGCAUCUAAGCACGAAACUUGCCCCGAGAUGAGUUCUCCCUGACUCCUUGAGAGUCCUGAAGGAACGUUGAAGACGACGACGUUGAUAGGCCGGGUGUGUAAGCGCAGCGAUGCGUUGAGCUAACCGGUACUAAUGAACCGUGAGGCUUAACCUUACAACGCCGAAG
This 2602-nucleotide ribosomal RNA is filed under the name Escherichia coli. RNAcentral's name for it is "partial 23S ribosomal RNA". It matches the Rfam family "Bacterial large subunit ribosomal RNA", at positions 352 to 2925 of the family's 2925-position model. The record is from RNAcentral. Lineage: Bacteria; Pseudomonadati; Pseudomonadota; Gammaproteobacteria; Enterobacterales; Enterobacteriaceae.